AUUAAUGCCACUGAUUGGCCAUCAAUUGAAAUCACCUGGUGUCCCAGCUUUAAAUCAGUCCUGAUUAUAGGGGAAGAAGGAGAACCAGCAGCAGUACAGGGCUGGAUUUGAGCUUCACAGGUUUGGAGUACAACCAAAGGCAGAUGUCCCAGCUAAGGAGUUCUGCAAACACGCUGCGGAAUGACAGGCAGUUUAAAGGGACGUCCACAUCCACACGCGACUUGGAGAUGAACGCUGCAGUUGAAAGGCUUUUGCUGAAUGAACGGGGCCUUUCCAGAUUCCACACGCCCAUACCUGCUGAUAGCUUCUUAAAGUCCAAACAAAGGUGUACAGAUAAAAUUUCACCUACCAAGAUCUUGUUUCUGAGAAUAAUAGCCUUCCUGCCAGCGAAUGGCUCUUUGUUUAGAAGCAGAACUGAGCCCGUGCUGGGCGGGGCCCCUGACGGAACCUCUGAUCAACUGUAAACACCGCUGAUAACUGAAACUUUGAAAUCCCACCGUUUGUUAGUUUUUAUUGCCCUGUAGAUUUGAGAGGCCCCGGGCGGCGCUCCUGCCAACAGAAACUGGGCCGUGCGACGGGCCGCUGAGAUCUGCGUGUUUAGCCCGAGCCAUAAAUAGUUUGCCUUGGCCUUGUGUCAGAGAUCAAAGAACGCCAGGAAUCCAGGGCCUUCCUGGGACUGAGCAUGUGAUGCGUGCAUGUUACACUGUUGCCAUGGUGAGGAUCUCCUGGGUUCCAUCUGGGGGCACUCAUCUGAAGAAUUAUAUAUUUUUUGAAAAUACUGAAUUGAAUUGCUUUUAAGAUUAUUUGUCUUGCAAAUAUGGAUGUAUAUAAGCCAUGCAUCUUUUUCAUUUGAGAUAAGUAGACACUUUAAAAAUGUAUAAAUAUUUAUUUUGUAUUCACCAGCCCAGCAUUUGUCCACAUUUAUCCAAAUUGGAAGUGAGUGACUAUUUUGGUUUUCCUUACAGUUGGUUUUAAAUAUGAUACUUUGAUAAUAGGUGAUAAACCUAAGAAGCACACUAACUUCACAGCAACUAUUUUUUUUGUGGCAAAUGUAACUGUGGUUUUGAAAUACAGAUUUGUUAUAUUGUACUGGCUAUUCAUG
Anguilla anguilla (European eel) is the source of this 1102-nucleotide long non-coding RNA. RefSeq lists it as uncharacterized. The record is from RefSeq and is a predicted model, not a curated record. Lineage: Eukaryota; Metazoa; Chordata; Actinopteri; Anguilliformes; Anguillidae. The transcript has 3 exons.